GCAUCCUAGCAACACCACUGAGCAUCCUAGCAACACCACUGAGCAUCCUAGCAACACCACUGAGCAGCCUAGCAACACCACUGAGCAGCCUAGCAACACCACUGAGCAGCCUAGCAACACCACUGAGCAUCCUAGCAACACCACUGAGCAUCCUAGCAACACCACUGAGCAUCCUAGCAACACCACUGAGCAGCCUAGCAACACCACUGAGCAGCCUAGUAUCAGCAGGGAGGAGAGGUCAACCACAUUAGACCCGGAAGUGUUGCCAGCUCUGAGCGUUGAGGACACCUUCUGUGGAGCGACACCCAUCUCUGACCGCUACUUGUUGACGGCCGCUUUCUGUGUCUUCGAUCCUGUCCACCCAAUCAGCACAGUAAGGCUGGGAGAACUGGACUUCUCAAAAGACAAUGAGACCAACGCUCGUCCGCGAGACUACCAAAUUGAGCAGAUUAUUGUCCAUCCUGACUACCAGUAAGUCCUAUUAUGUGUGUGUGUGU
This 497-nucleotide long non-coding RNA is filed under the name Homarus americanus (American lobster). RNAcentral's name for it is "uncharacterized LOC121878483, transcript variant X2". Lineage: Eukaryota; Metazoa; Arthropoda; Malacostraca; Decapoda; Nephropidae. The record is from RNAcentral.